CGCAUCUGUGCAUGCAGCAUAUCAAUAAGCGGAGGAAAAGAAACUAACAAGGAUUCCCCUAGUAACGGCGAGUGAAGCGGGAAGAGCUCAAAUUUGAAAUCUUAAAGGGUUUCCCUUUACGAAUUGUAGUUUAAAGAAGUGUUUUCUGUUGAGGUUUUGGUAAAAGUUCUUUGGAAUAGGACAUCAUAGAGGGUGAGAAUCCCGUAUUUGACCUUUACUUUCAACUUUGUGAUACACUUUCAAAGAGUCGGAUUGUUUGGGAAUGCAGUCCAAAAUGGGUGGUAAAUUUCAUCUAAAGCUAAAUAUUGGCGAGAGACCGAUAGCGAACAAGUACCGUGAGGGAAAGAUGAAAAGAAACUUUGAAAAGAGAGUUAAACAGUACGUGAAAUUGUCAAAAGGGAAGCGUUUGACACCAGUGUUGUUUUUCUGAAAAUCAAUUAAAGAACUGUUUAUGCUAAGCUGUUUAGACUUUAUCAGCUAACUGUUUAGUUUUGAGCUUUUCUUAAUGCACUUUUCAGUUAACAAGUCAACAUCAAUUUCUUUUGCUGUAAAAAAGCUUGAGGAAGGUGGCUUGAGAUUCGUCUUAAGUGUUUAUAGCCUCUUGCCUAUGCAGUCGGAGAGAUUGAGGUCUGCAGCGUAGAUCCUUCGGGGCUAAAUGCAUUUGUGCUAAGUUAUAGCAUUUUAUAGACAACUUGUUGACUAUGAUUUGUCUUGUAGCUUACUCGCUUAUGUUAUUUUACCUACGCUUAGGAUGUUGAGCGCAUGUCUCUCUCU
RNAcentral lists this ribosomal RNA (774 nucleotides) under uncultured Neocallimastigales. Its description in RNAcentral is "partial large subunit ribosomal RNA". It matches the Rfam family "Eukaryotic large subunit ribosomal RNA", at positions 26 to 616 of the family's 3401-position model. Lineage: Eukaryota; Fungi; Neocallimastigomycota; Neocallimastigomycetes; Neocallimastigales. The record is from RNAcentral.